UGAUGGUAAGCGAUGGUUGUCAUCUACAGUCCACUACGGUUACAGAGACGUGUGGUUUGUGUUUUAACACCGUUUCAUCUCAUAAUUUAGACUUUCUAUCCCCUUUCUUCAGUGCAGAAAUGGGCUUCUAUAGUUGUGUGAAGGCAUCGCUCCAGCCAAUCCAAAGACGGCGUUUGUAACCAAUCAGAUGUAGAUACCAUGGUGACUGGCUCCGCCCCCUGGUGACUGGCCCCGCCCCCUUACUGUAAAAAAGAACAGCGAGUGCGUAGAAAACAUCUUUGAGCGCGAGCAGAGAUUCACCUCGCGGGGAAGUUCACGUUCCGCGAGCGAGCAAAUCUCUCGCGCGAGACGAACUUUUGCUCGCAGAAGUUUGAUUUACGCGCAUCAGCCUGAUUUGCACUCUCGAAUUUUGACAGUGAUUUGCCGCCAUAUUUUACCCUCAAUAUGCUUCCUUUAGGCGAUCAAAAAACACACAUAAACUUCCAUUGUUAUGCAGACGAUACUCAACUGUAUCUGUCGAUCAAGUCAGACAGGACCGAACAGCUUGCUGGGGAGGCACCGUCUUAUCUCCAUCACAUUGCUGGUACUGCCGUGAUAAACCAACAUUAACAACUCUGCUUCUUUCCCGAAGUCUUUGUGCCUUCCCUCCCCAGAGGCUUCUGUGGACGGAGGUUCUAUCUGAUGGAGGUUCUAUCUGAUGGUGGUUGGCCCUUCAGUGGUCCUGCCCUACACCUGCUUACUACUCACAAUAUUUGAAUUAUUUCUGUUGUAGGAAUUUAAUGUAUUGUACAUCUCUUAUUUAUCAUCAUUGCAGUCUGUCCAUCGGGAGACGGAUCCUCCUCUGACUGUAAAGCCCUCUGAGAUGAUGAGGUGAGGAAGUACUUCCUCCUCCAGGUGAAGCACUCACAGCUGCAGGUAGGACAUGAGGAAGGAAAUCAGGUAGGAGAUAAGGUAGGAGAUGAGGUAGGAGAUGAGGAAGGAGAUGAGGAAGGAGAUCUGGAACGCAAUGAGGAAGCAUAUGAGGAAGCACAUGAAGAAGGGGUUGAGGUAUGAGGAAGCAGGAGGGUGGAGGUGAUUUCCCACUGGUUAGGGAGGAGGAGGCUCAGACGUGUUCACAUUGAUCUGGUAUCUGUUUUAAUCUCAGAUGAACAUGAGAGAAGAUCAGGACUCAUAAUCAGAAGCUCCUCACAUGAAAGAUUUCUGUCCAUAUGAGCCUUUGACCUCAGAGGAACAAACAUUCAAACAUGGAGAUGGUUCCGGACAUGAGAAGAAGGGUUAUUAAUGUCAACAUCUGUAGUGUUUUCAGCCUAGUCCACAUGCAUGAAGGUCUUUGUGUCGUCAGUAAUCCUGCAAGACAAACCCUGGACAUUAGAACUGGAACCACGUGAGCAGGAUGAUGAGGAUGAUCUGUUUGGGGUCUUUUAAAACUUACAGAGUUUCCCAGAAAUAACAAUUAAUAAUAUUACCGAGAACUAAAACAAAGACAACACGUGAAGCUUCAGUUAUGAACAUUAAUGAUCAGUAUUAUCAUACUAUCAUGUAUGUGAUCGUGGACUCACAGCAUUCAUUAACUUUCUCUCUUUAAGUUUUUCUUCUGGGGAUCAGUGAAGUGUUAUAUAACACUUAUAAUAUAAUUAUAUUAUUAUAACUCCAAACAAGACUUGUUUUAAAUAUAUAUGAAGCAGAU
Gasterosteus aculeatus aculeatus (three-spined stickleback) is the source of this 1687-nucleotide long non-coding RNA. Lineage: Eukaryota; Metazoa; Chordata; Actinopteri; Perciformes; Gasterosteidae. The record is from Ensembl.